RNAcentral lists this transfer RNA (70 nucleotides) under Buteo buteo (common buzzard). Its description in RNAcentral is "tRNA-Phe". RNAcentral also lists the same sequence under 3 other names. The record is from RNAcentral. Lineage: Eukaryota; Metazoa; Chordata; Aves; Accipitriformes; Accipitridae.
GUCCCAGUAGCUUACAAUAAAGCAUGGCACUGAAGAUGCCAAGAUGGUUACUACACAUAACCCACGGACA